AGGUGCCAUCAUUACAAGUUCGACUUUCGGUUGUCACUUGAGAGGAGGAAAGGGAGCUGGACAUGAAAAUACAGCGGAAAACGAAAGUAAAACACAGAAACUGCAGCCGGACCACUGCUCAACCUGGAUCAGUCUUGGUUAAGGUGCUGGAAACAAAAAAGUCCAAAAGCAAAGAGAGGAUUUCCGCACGCUUACAUCUGUGAUGUCGGCACAGAGGAAGUCAGUUUUAAACCUAUGAAAUUAAAGGCACUGAUAUGAGCAUAUAGAAUACACACAUUCUGUAAAUUUCUAAUUGCUGAUUGGAAACUACCGGAAAGUUGCUAAAACACAUGACCUCAACUCGUGCUCUUUCUAUCUCUAUGUGGAAGAAAUCAUUUUGAAUGGAAAGCCGCCACUAGGAGGUGUUAUUGCUCUUUGUUUGGCAUGAUGCUCUUACAGUUGAGGCUCCAUCAACUACACAGUGUGAAGAAAUCACCACAGUUAAGAUAAAAGGGAGGUGACGCAGGUCAACAAAGCAGAGCAGGAGAGGAGGCCUGUGCUUUACGGUGAAUAAGGACUGGUGUGAUGGUGGGAGUGUGAGGUGCUGUCCUGUUCCUGCUGUGGAUCACUGCUAUACAACAUGCAGAGGCAGCUGAAGCGCUACCCAUGUUCAGGAGGAGCGACCAUGCGGCCUUCUUGUUGGAGUCAAGAUGCAUGGACAGUAACAACCAGAGACCAUGGAUUACCAAAACCAUCCGGAGAGGUUAUAGAUAAAAGCAGCCAUAAGCUCCUGGCUCAAGGACCAGCCAUUCAGUUUUUUUCACAUUUGGGAACCUUUUCUGGACUAUAUUGAAAAUGAUGGGGCCCUUAGGAGUGGUAUGGACUAGCAUGGACUGAGGUCUCAAAACACAUCUCUAUGUAGGCUUAUGUUCUCAAUAAACCACUGAGAACUGUGAUGCUGUGAACCAUCACUCAUUUAUUUGUAUUUUUUUCUUCUUUCUGUUUUGUCUGUUUUGAGUUUUGUUAAUCUGUCUGUUUUUUUGUUUGUUGUUUUUUUUUUGGUUGUUUGGUUUGGUUUAGUUUGGUCAUAUUGUUUGACUGAUUCUUUGACGUACAUAUAUAUAUAUUUAUUUCAAGUGUGGAGAAUGUGUUAUGUGUUCGUUUGUGAAUAAGUUGGAAAAGAGGAUGUCUAUAAAAAUGUGUAUAACUUCCAUGCCCUUUAUUUUGUAUUGUUAUGAUCCUCAACUUGAUAAAUCGAAUCUAAAAAUGAAAUAAAAUAAAAUAAAAGCAGCCAACAAUGUAAGGAUACAGAAAAAGAAGGGCUAAAUUACAGUGCACAAGUUAAAGGAGCUGAUGCAGUCGCAUUUCACUGGACUUGUACCUUGUAUGAUUACAUGUGACAAAUAAAUGAUUGAUUGAUUGAAUUAGUCACAAGUGCAUUUGUGCCCUUUAUUUUGACAUUGUCAUCCUCACUUCAGGUGGUCUCUGUGACAGUCUCAGGGAUGACCGCAUUGUGUGCUGUCUCUUCACACCAGUGAUUGUGUCAUUUUUACCUCAAAACCUGUUAGCUACGCAACAGUUUGAGCCUUUCGUGUCUUCCCUAAUAGCCUGAAAUGGAUGCAAGUGGAACCGACAUAAGCCUGUGUGUUUAUCUGUUAUUGUCUGCGGCUGUGAGCAUGUGCUCUGGGUGUCCUCUGAGUGUGUGUUUUUGGAUGCUGUAGGUGGGUACAGUUGAUGUGCAUGCCAUGGAUGUGGAUAACGUGUGUGUGUGUGUGUGCUUACUGUGUGUUCUCAUUUGAUGGCUGCUUGCUAUCAGUGUUUGUUUGGGGUUAAAAGCCCCUGUCUCUGAGGGUGUUAGCGGGGGUCAUCUAAACCGGAUCUGCAGCAGAAUCGCUUGAGAGGCAGAAGCAUAAUCUGUAGCUGGCUUUGUGCUCCCAGAUUAAAGUGAUGAUGUUUUAAACCUUUCUCACGGCCGCAAUAUGCCUUUGCUUCCCUCCCUGCUACUCAGUAUGUGUGUGACAGCAGAUCCACACGGCCGGGUUCAAGAAAAGGACACUUUCCUCACUAUUUAUGAAACGGGGAGCUUUAGCACAUUAUCUGAGACGACGCACGCAUGUUCUAUUCAUCUAUUAAUUUGCCAUCAGCGUGGUGUAGCUAUAACGUAUCUUCUCCAGUGUUUGAGGGGAAACAGCUGCUAAUCCUAAUCCCCCCGUCUCCCCCCACGGGAUUCUGUCAAAUCACAGGCCCUUUAAAAAGCUCUGGCUGGCUGGUUCAGGGGCUGGUUGAGUGGCUGGCUGACUGGCAGGCUCUAAAUGAGAGGAUGGACCAUGCUUACCCACUCCCGUGACUGACAUCCACUCGGCCCCCAGAAAGUAUGUCACUUGUUUGUACAAGUAUGUACAUACACACACCAGAAAUUUCCACUGCACUCUGCGUCUCCAGAUGUGUCGUCCAAUACAGUUAAAAUAGCUUUAACCAUAAACAUCUACAGACAACUGGACAGGUUUCAAUAUAUGGAUACCAUAGUGUCAGGCAGAUUAGAAAAAGAGACCUUUUGGUUAGCACAAGAUAGAGGUUCAGCCACCCCAAACACACAAACGUCUCAUAAGAUAAAAUGAUGAAGUGAUGACAUUUUAUUUCCAAAAGGUCAAUGGUCAGCUUCACUGUGACAUCAUAAUGUUCUGCAAAAACACUUUCCUGGCCAUUUUUUAAUGUCAUAACUGAGGUACAGAAGGACAUUUGGUGAGAUACUAACACUCAUCUUGGGUGCCCACAUUCACACUGUGCUGCCAGGUUGAAGAUGUGUGUGAAGUAUCCAUAUUAAAGAAGUUGAGUUCUUCUUUGCAGCAAUAUCCAUAUUUGAGGCGUCAUUUGCUGUCAUGGCUACAACUUAGUGUUCAAUCACAAUCAGCUUUAUUGACCAAGCAUGUGAACACAUCCAUUGAAUUUGACUCUGGAGACUUGUAUGAGUCAACCCUCUUCGGUUCCUCUCUCUGGACGACAACGAGGCCAUGGAGCGUCCUCUUCCUCUGGUAGACCACCACAAGCUCGGUGGUUUUGCUGGUAUUGAGCUUCAGGUGAUUGUUGUUGCACCAUGUUAUUUUAUAAUACUGACAUUUUAAUGUCUUUUUUUGUGUUGUGCUAUACUAUAACUUUUUGAUGAUAUGCUAUACUAUGACUUUUUUAUGCCAUUAUGAACGACAUGAUAUACUAUAACUUUUUUUUAAUCAUAUUUUGAAUGGCAUGCUAUACUAGGAGGUUUUUUUUAUGACAUUUUGAACGACUAUAGUAUGACUUUUUUAUGAUAUCAUGAACUACAUGCUAUAGUAUGACUUUUUUAUGAUAUUAUGAACGGCAUGCUAUACUAUGACUUUUUUUGAUCA
Molecule: long non-coding RNA, 3362 nt
Organism: Epinephelus moara (kelp grouper)
Lineage: Eukaryota; Metazoa; Chordata; Actinopteri; Perciformes; Serranidae
Exons: 4
Source: RefSeq, a predicted model, not a curated record